RNAcentral lists this long non-coding RNA (1343 nucleotides) under Oncorhynchus mykiss (rainbow trout). RNAcentral's name for it is "lncRNA (ENSOMYG00000016946.2)". The record is from RNAcentral. Lineage: Eukaryota; Metazoa; Chordata; Actinopteri; Salmoniformes; Salmonidae.
CGGCUUGGAUAGCAACCUUAGAUUUGUUUCGGGACUAUAUCUUGUGAAAGGAUGAAAUAGUAUGAAUAAAUUCAUUAGAAUUCAAUUUUUUUAUUAAAACAUGUCAAUCAUUAUUUGAAUACGUUGGUAACAUUGGUCUUGGGCCUAACAACACCCGUGCCAAUAUAUCCUUCAAACACCGGCUUCUCGGGCGUUAGCACUUAAAUGUUAUACGUUUGAAAACAUUAUUGGCAUUGUGGGAUUUGAUUUUCAUGAUACCAAGCAUGGAUUUAUGGUUUGGUUAGCUAAACUAGCAAGGCUGUUUGUUUGGUUAUCAAGGCAACUACUGUAUCUAUCUAGUAAACUUGUCAACUACUUCAUUUGAAUGUUUCUAGUGGCAAAUGUGUUACUGCAUAUCCUUGGACAUCCUGCAAUAAUUUUCUGUUUAGACAGUUCUUAUUCAUGGUAAUUCACCCUUACGAAAAAUAUAUUGCAGUCAGAGAGCAGUAUAACUGCAGUACACUACAGUAUAACUGCAGUUAGUGUGCAGUAAUAACUCCAGUUAGAGUGCUGUAUAAAUGCAGUAUGCUGCAAAUACUCCGUCCAAAAUAACAUUUUUUUUACUGCAGUAAUUUUGCAGUUUAACUGCAUUUACAGCGCAGUAUAACUGCUGUUCAACUGCAGUUAUUCUGCAAUUGCUGAGUCCAAAAUACCACAGUCGACUGCAGUUACUGCGCUUUUACUGCAGUUUUAAACUUAAACUCAUUUUUUUGUACAGGAUCACUACGGAGCUAUAGCCGGUGCGUCGAGGAACACACGUUCCACGUCAUUCAUUAUUUUCCAUAGAAUGCAUAUCCCCUCGUUGACUAAUACAUAACCUUUGACUUAUACUAACUUCUUUCUACUCUCUUUACUUCCUGCUGACCUUCCCUGCCGGCCAUAUAACACUGUCACCGAUAGGAUGACGAGGAGGGCAUUUGGGCGUAAUCGUGUCCAUGACAACCAAAGCUCUGACGUUCGGAGGGAUGAUUCAGUUACUGUUGGAGGAGCACAGCCAUUCCAUGAUGCUGAAAUACAUUGACUACCUACCAACCUUUUGUUACCACCAUACAAUCCACACUUCAAUGGGGCCUUUAUUUUUAUUUUUUGAUGAGGAGGAGGAGGAGGAAGAGGAGGGAUGAAGCAGGUGGGAGGGCCAGAUGAGGAGACUGAUAGUUGAGGUACAACCCAGUUCUAGAUUCAGACCAACUUAAUGUGGAGAGUCCUCUUUAGGUUGCAAAAUUCCCAGGUUUUUGAGAAAUGCUUAUUCUUUCCUGAUUCCAGGAAUCUUCCAUCCGGGAUACAUUUAUAGAUGUAGAAUAAAG